CCCUUAGAUGUCCCGGGCCGCACGCGCGCUACACUGAUGCAUUCAACGAGUUUUACCUUGGCCGAGAGGCCUGGGCAAUCUUUUAAACCUGCAUCGUGAUAGGGAUAGAUUAUUGCAAUUAUUAAUCUUGAACGAGGAAUUCCUAGUAAACGCAGAUCAUCAAUCUGCAUUGAUUACGUCCCUGCCCUUUGUACACACCGCCCGUCGCACCUACCGAUUGAAUGGUCCGGUGAAGCCUCGGGAUUGUGGCCAGUUCACUUUAUUGGGAGUUGGCUGCGAGAACUUGUCUAAACCUUAUCAUUUAGAGGAAGGUGAAGUCGUAACA
Molecule: ribosomal RNA, 325 nt
Filed under: uncultured eukaryote
Lineage: Eukaryota
Description: partial 18S ribosomal RNA
Rfam family: Eukaryotic small subunit ribosomal RNA
Source: RNAcentral